RNAcentral lists this ribosomal RNA (699 nucleotides) under uncultured bacterium. RNAcentral's name for it is "bacterial SSU rRNA". It matches the Rfam family "Bacterial small subunit ribosomal RNA", at positions 88 to 803 of the family's 1533-position model. The record is from RNAcentral.
UGACUGAGCGGCGGACGGGUGAGUAACGCGUGGGUAACCUGCCUUAUACAGGGGGAUAACAGUUAGAAAUGGCUGCUAAUACCGCAUAAGCACACAGCUUCGCAUGGAGCAGUGUGAAAAACUCCGGUGGUAUGAGAUGGACCCGCGUCUGAUUAGCUAGUUGGUAAGGUAACGGCUUACCAAGGCGACGAUCAGUAGCCGACCUGAGAGGGUGACCGGCCACAUUGGGACUGAGACACGGCCCAAACUCCUACGGGAGGCAGCAGUGGGGAAUAUUGCACAAUGGGGGAAACCCUGAUGCAGCGACGCCGCGUGAGUGAAGAAGUAUCUCGGUAUGUAAAGCUCUAUCAGCAGGGAAGAAGAAAUGACGGUACCUGACUAAGAAGCACCGGCUAAAUACGUGCCAGCAGCCGCGGUAAUACGUAUGGUGCAAGCGUUAUCCGGAUUUACUGGGUGUAAAGGGAGCGCAGGCGGUACGGCAAGUCUGAUGUGAAAGCCCGGGGCUCAACCCCGGUACUGCAUUGGAAACUGUCGGACUAGAGUGUCGGAGGGGUAAGUGGAAUUCCUAGUGUAGCGGUGAAAUGCGUAGAUAUUAGGAGGAACACCAGUGGCGAAGGCGGCUUACUGGACGAUUACUGACGCUGAGGCUCGAAAGCGUGNGGAGCAAACAGNAUUAGAUACCCUGGUAGUCCACGCCGU